RNAcentral lists this ribosomal RNA (1162 nucleotides) under Enterobacter hormaechei. Its description in RNAcentral is "partial 23S ribosomal RNA". It matches the Rfam family "Bacterial large subunit ribosomal RNA", at positions 614 to 1776 of the family's 2925-position model. Lineage: Bacteria; Pseudomonadati; Pseudomonadota; Gammaproteobacteria; Enterobacterales; Enterobacteriaceae. The record is from RNAcentral.
AAUGGGUCAGCGACUUAUAUUCUGUAGCAAGGUUAACCGUAUAGGGGAGCCGAAGGGAAACCGAGUCUUAACUGGGCGUUAAGUUGCAGGGUAUAGACCCGAAACCCGGUGAUCUAGCCAUGGGCAGGUUGAAGGUUGGGUAACACUAACUGGAGGACCGAACCGACUAAUGUUGAAAAAUUAGCGGAUGACCUGUGGCUGGGGGUGAAAGGCCAAUCAAACCGGGAGAUAGCUGGUUCUCCCCGAAAGCUAUUUAGGUAGCGCCUCGUGAACUCAUCUUCGGGGGUAGAGCACUGUUUCGGCUAGGGGGCCAUCCCGGCUUACCAACCCGAUGCAAACUACGAAUACCGAAGAAUGUUAUCACGGGAGACACACGGCGGGUGCUAACGUCCGUCGUGAAGAGGGAAACAACCCAGACCGCCAGCUAAGGUCCCAAAGUCAUGGUUAAGUGGGAAACGAUGUGGGAAGGCACAGACAGCCAGGAUGUUGGCUUAGAAGCAGCCAUCAUUUAAAGAAAGCGUAAUAGCUCACUGGUCGAGUCGGCCUGCGCGGAAGAUGUAACGGGGCUAAACCAUGCACCGAAGCUGCGGCAGCGACACUAUGUGUUGUUGGGUAGGGGAGCGUUCUGUAAGCCGUUGAAGGUGUGCUGUGAGGCAUGCUGGAGGUAUCAGAAGUGCGAAUGCUGACAUAAGUAACGAUAAAGCGGGUGAAAAGCCCGCUCGCCGGAAGACCAAGGGUUCCUGUCCAACGUUAAUCGGGGCAGGGUGAGUCGACCCCUAAGGCGAGGCCGAAAGGCGUAGUCGAUGGGAAACAGGUUAAUAUUCCUGUACUUGGUGUUACUGCGAAGGGGGGACGGAGAAGGCUAUGUCAGCCGGGCGACGGUUGUCCCGGUUUAAGCAUGUAGGCGGAGGUUCCAGGUAAAUCCGGUACCUUAUUAACGCUGAGGUGUGAUGACGAGGCACUACGGUGCUGAAGUGAUAAAUGCCCUGCUUCCAGGAAAAGCCUCUAAGCAUCAGGUAACACGAAAUCGUACCCCAAACCGACACAGGUGGUCAGGUAGAGAAUACCAAGGCGCUUGAGAGAACUCGGGUGAAGGAACUAGGCAAAAUGGUGCCGUAACUUCGGGAGAAGGCACGCUGAUAUGUAGGUGAAGCCCCUGCGG